GGGCUAUAGCACUCAGAUCAAGAUGACAUCCAAUAAAAUUAUUUAAAUGAUUUAAUUGUUUUUCCUUAGAUGCGCUAUCUGCAUAGCACGAAUGAUAAAAGUCAUAACAGAAAUUCUCACUUUCCCCAGAAAAUACAGCAAGCAACAUAUCUAGUCUUCAGGAAAAGAGUGAAGGCGAGGUGAAUGGGGAAGGGAACUAGUUAAAACCCACUCACUGCACCUGCAUCAAUGAAUAA
RNAcentral lists this unclassified non-coding RNA (236 nucleotides) under Hevea brasiliensis (rubber tree). The record is from RNAcentral. Lineage: Eukaryota; Viridiplantae; Streptophyta; Magnoliopsida; Malpighiales; Euphorbiaceae.